AUACGGAGGAUGCGAGCGUUAUCCGGAUUUAUUGGGUUUAAAGGGAGCGUAGGUGGGAUAUUAAGUCAGCUGUGAAAGUUUGGGGCUCAACCUUAAAAUUGCAGUUGAUACUGGUUUCCUUGAGUACGGUACAGGUGGGCGGAAUUCGUGGUGUAGCGGUGAAAUGCUUAGAUAUCACGAAGAACUCCGAUCGCGAAGGCAGCUCAACAGGCCGGAACUGACAGUGAUGCUCUAAAGUGCGUGUAUCAAACAGGAUUAGAUACCCUGGUAGUCCGCACAGUAAACGAUGAAUACUCGCUGUUUGCGAUACACGGUAAGCGGCCAAGCGAAAGCGUUAAGUAAUCCACCUGGGGAGUACGCCGGCAACGGUGAAACUCAAAGGAAUUGACGGGG
This 393-nucleotide ribosomal RNA is filed under the name uncultured bacterium. RNAcentral describes it as "partial 16S ribosomal RNA". It matches the Rfam family "Bacterial small subunit ribosomal RNA", at positions 523 to 918 of the family's 1533-position model. The record is from RNAcentral.